AAAUUGAAGGGUUUGAUCCUGGCUCAGAAUGAACGUUGGCGGCGUGGAUUAGGCAUGCAAGUCGAGCGAGAACUCCGGUUCGCCGGAGGGACAGCGGCGAAAGGGACAGUAAUGUGUAGAUCAUCUGCCCUCAGGUCCGGGAUAGCUGUGGGAAACUGCAGGUAAUACCGGAUGAUAUCUCCGGAUCAAAGGUGUGAUUCCGCCUGGGGAUGAGUCUACAUCCUAUUAGCUUGUUGGUAGGGUAACGGCCUACCAAGGCAUUGAUGGGUAGCGGGUGUGAGAGCAUGACCCGCGUCAUUGGGACUGAGACACUGCCCAGACACCUACGGGUGGCUGCAGUCGAGAAUCUUCGGCAAUGGGCGCAAGCCUGACCGAGCGACGCCGCGUGCGGGAUGAAGGCCUUCGGGUUGUAAACCGCUGUCAGAGGGGAUGAAAUGCGUGGGGGUUCUCCCCCAUGUUUGACAUAGCCUCAGAGGAAGGACGGGCUAAGUUCGUGCCAGCAGCCGCGGUAAGACGAACCGUCCAAACGUUAUUCGGAAUCACUGGGCUUAAAGGGUGCGUAGGCGGCGCGGAAAGUUGGGUGUGAAAUCCCUCGGCUCAACCGAGGAACUGCGCCCAAUACUACCGUGCUCGAGGGAGAUAGAGGUGAGCGGAACUUAGGGUGGAGCGGUGAAAUGCGUUGAUAUCCUAAGGAACACCGGUGGCGAAAGCGGCUCACUGGAUCUCUUCUGACGCUGAG
This 739-nucleotide ribosomal RNA is filed under the name Planctomycetota bacterium. Its description in RNAcentral is "bacterial SSU rRNA". It matches the Rfam family "Bacterial small subunit ribosomal RNA", at positions 1 to 750 of the family's 1533-position model. The record is from RNAcentral. Lineage: Bacteria; Pseudomonadati; Planctomycetota.